RNAcentral lists this ribosomal RNA (492 nucleotides) under Starmerella bacillaris. RNAcentral's name for it is "LSU rRNA". It matches the Rfam family "Eukaryotic large subunit ribosomal RNA", at positions 72 to 669 of the family's 3401-position model. Lineage: Eukaryota; Fungi; Ascomycota; Dipodascomycetes; Dipodascales; Trichomonascaceae. The record is from RNAcentral.
GGUAUGCCCUAGUACGGCGAGUGACAGGCAAGAGCUCAGAUUUGAAAGGCACUUUUGUGCCGGUGUAUCUAAGUAAGGGUCCUGAGAAACGAUGCUUAAGUCUUCUGGAAAGAGAGCAACCAUGGAGGGUGAUAGCCCCGUCUAGCAUUGACCUCAUAUAGGAUCUUAACAUGGAGUCGAGUUGUUUGGGAAUGCAGCUCAAAUGGGUGGUAUGCUCCAUCUAAAGCUAAAUAUCUGCGAGAGACCGAUAGUAAACAAGUACUGUGAGGGAAAGAUGAAAAGAACUUUGAAAAGAGAGUGAAAAAGUACGUGAAAUUGUUGAAAUGGAAGGGUAGGCCGCUAACCAUGUAGAGCCGUGUUUGGGGGGAAGAUAAAUGCUGUAGAAUGUAGCUCCUCGGAGUAUUAUAGAUGCAGUUCAUAUUCCCACCCGAGCGCGAGGAUCUCAGGUUCUACUAAAUGGUGGUCUACCACCCGUCUUGAAACACGGACCAA